CAUAGGCUCUCAACACACACAAAAUCUUUAAUGAUAGUUUUGCAUUGUAUUUGUCUAUUUUGGUUGAAAAAUAGAGCAUUUUUCUAAAUUUUAGAGGUCUGGAAACUUUAGAGAUAUAUUGGAGGGGGUACUCAGGGUGUGAAGGCACGCUGGGGGAAAAUGGCUAUCUCUAGGUCUGGCUACCCAAGCGGCUUCGGUUUACCUUAUAAUUAUACCUCAAACCCCAAAGUAAAUACUCUAGAAGCUGAUUAAAGAUAACCAAAAAUAUUGUUUAUUGAAAACAGGAAACAGUCCUUUUAAUGUAUUAGAAAUAAUAUGAGGUAAAAUCACUGAAAUUAUACAGAAAUAAAACUAUAUUGAUUGAGAAUGAAAGCUAUAGAGACUAUAAAGGAUUAACACACAAGCUAUGAGGAAAGGUAGGUACUAUAGGGUAAGUACAAGGCUAUGAUAAGCACUAUCUAUAAUGACUUUAGUGGUAAAUACCAGCUAUAGUGAACUAUCUAUAAUAACUCUGAGGUAAACUAUAAGGUGAUAAGCUAUAAGGUAAGUACAUAAGGUAAGUACAAGGUGAACUAUAAGCUUUGCUAUCUUUGAGGUAAAUACCUAAAGCUAUGAUGUGACUAUAAGGUAAGUACUUGGCUAUGAUGAGCUCUAUCUGUAAUGGUAAGUAUGAGGCUAUGAGGUAAAUACCUAAAGCUAUGAUGUGACUAUAAGGUAAGUACAAGGCUAUGAGGUAAACUGUAAGGUAAGUACAAGGCUAUGAGGUAAACUGUAAGGUAAGUACAAGGCUAUGAGGUAAACUGUAAGGUAAGUACAAGGCUAUGAGGUAAACUGUAAGGUAAGUACAAGGCUAUGAGGUAAACUGUAAGGUAAGUACAAGGCUAUGAGGUAAACUGUAAGGUAAGUACAAGGCUAUGAGGUAAACUGUAAGGUAAGUACAAGGCUAUGAGGUAAACUGUAAGGUAAGUACGUGAUUUAUGUUGCCUGUUUGAAUUUGCCAGGUCAAAGAACCCAGACCAAUUCUAAGACCUAUCUCUAAGGUUUUUCUCUGGAAUGGCAAUAGGAGGGGAAAAAGCCUUAGAGAUUAGCUCCCAGGCUGAACCAUCUCAUCCAAACCUAAAGGGGAGUCCCAAGCUCCACCCCCAAAACAGGAGCCAAUGGAACAUUCCUCCCAAGAACAGCAACCAGGAAAUAAGCAAGGGAGGGAAAGCCAAGUAGGACAGCACACAGGGAAAGAAGGAAAACAUGCCGGUUUCAGUUGGACGUGCUGACUCUCCUGGAAGCCAGUUUGAGCUUUGAGAGAGGAGACAGGAGCUGCAGGUAUGCAUGCUCUCCCUCUGCAGUUGGCAGUCUUCCAAGGCACUUUAAGAAGGCGUCACAGUUCCCAGGGAAGGAAGAAGAAUCAACCUGGAGGACUUUAUCACAAACAGCUGGAGAAAGGGAAGAAAGGGUGGAGUUUCAUUGGGUUCUAUUUUUAAAGAAGACAAAGAAUUUAUUCACUCCCAUGACACGAAGAUCGCCUACUCCAGCUUCUAACUCAACCAUCUGCUUAAUUCCCAUCACAUGGGCAGAUCUAUACUUGGCUUCCUAUAUGUAGCACAUUGAUAUUACUGACUAAAUAAGCUGAAUGGCAGAAUACAUGCUUUGCAGAACAUUCUCCAGGUAAGUCUGGAAAAGACAUCCAUCUGCAACUAUCGAUAGUUAUGGUCAAUCAGUGUAGACACUACUGAGCUGAUUGACCAUUAGUCUUAACUUGGUGAAACCCAAUUCCCAGAAUUCAGUACAAGACAGUUUCAAUUUCUUUUCUCAGUGCGAGAGAGUUGUAACUUUUAUUCAUCAUUUUGCAAAUUUUUACUAACUCACACUUUCAGGUGUGAUGAUUACAUUCCAUAAAAUGCUUCUUUAAAUGAUUUCCCUGUCAUUUCAUUUCCAAAUCCCUUAUUUCCAUUUAAAUGUUCAUACCAAUCAAAUGUCUACCUCAGCAUGAAUCUCCUAGUUAAAUUCUCUUUUACUUUCCUAUAACUAGCAGGGAACAAAAAAAAAUGGAAGAAGCACUUCUCAUGAACAUUAUUGCUACCAUCUAAGACUCCUCCUUUCAGCAAUAUGGCGAAGACAGUUGAUUGAUUUUGGAUGAGGACAAAAUCUAUCAUCAUGCUUCAGUUGCAAGGGAACUUGGUUACUCUGGCAACAAGAGUAAGCCCCUAUGGCUUUAAGGUUUUUAAAAUAGUUAUUUGUCUUUUUUAGGAAUCAUGUUUCUUUAUUGUGUGUGACAGCAAUGCUAGCAGCAGGACAAGAUGACAUUCCUUUGUCCUUCCCUCUGACUGGCAAGGAUAAAUAUAAUUGAAAUUAUAUAUGCCUAAAAUGGAAGCUACUGGUUGAUCAACUCCAAUGGUAGGGAAUUAAAUCCUUGGCUAUGUGGACAAAUUAUUACUGUAGUUUUCCCCCUGCCUUGAGAUGAUGAUGAUGAUGAUGACAAGGAUGAUAAUGAUAAUGAUUACCUGCCUUUCCUCAUUGAAAAGCAAGAAAUAACAAUAUGUUAAAAUACAACACAUAUAAUCAUUUAAAAAAACUCAUAACCCAGUUAAAACAUUCAUUUGAAAGAACAUAUAUAUAGGCCGCUUGGUGACAUAGCGGGUUAAACCGCUGAGCUGCUGAAUUUGCUACCGAAAGAUCAGUGGUUCAAAUCCAGGGAGCAGGGUGAGCUCCCGCUGUUAACUCCAGCUUCUGGCAACCUUGCAGUUUGAAAACAUGCAAAUGUGAGUAGAUCAAUGGGUACCACUCCAGCAGGAAGGUAAUAGUGCUCCAUGCAGUCAUGCUGGCCACAUGACCUUGGAGGUGUCUAAGGACAACGCUGGCUCUUUGGCUUAGAAAUGGAGAUGAGCACCACCCCCCAGGGUCAGACAUGACUAGUCUUAAUAUCAAGGGAACCCUUUACCUUUGCCUUAUAUUCUCAAUACAUACUGAACCAGCUAGCACAUAAUGUAAAAUCCAUAAUUUAAAAAUCAUCUGGAUAGGCCUGCUCAGGGGAAAAAAGUAUUUAUUGUGGUGAUAAUUUCUACUGUCAAACUCUCUUUCGGCAGGUCAUUCCACAAUCUACAGUUGACUGAAGAACAAGUUCUAAGGUUGAUCAUUGCAAGCCUCUUCCUGGCUGACUGGAGUAAAUGUCUCCCAGAGGACAUGAAUAUAUAAAACAGAUUAUACAGGAGGUGGAAAUCCUGUAGGUCACCUGGAUAUCCCUCCAGAAUAUUCUCUCCAUAUUUGAAUAUCCCAGUGUCCCAGAAAAAAAAAAACUUAUCUGAGGGGUAUAUGUAUUUUUGUGCAGUACACUAUGCCCUCUUUUGUGCAGAAAAUAGUGAGCUCAUUUUCUAUGGAGAAAAUGAGGGGUGGGGAUGCACAAAAUAACAUGUAUUUUUUCUUAGCCAUGCAAUACUUCUGUGACAAUUGGGGGCAUUCAAAUAUCAAGAAGUUGCACAAAAUUUUCACUGGUCUACUGUUUUUCUUGCUAGACUUCUUCAAAUAUUGGGAAUCUCAUUUUGCAACCUGGUGAUAAAUAACACCAUGUAACAAAUUGAAAACAUUUCAAUUAUUGGUUUGAUAGUUUUAUUUCCUGUUUAAUUGUGUGGUACUUUCUUGGAAAGUAGUUAUUAUACUCCAGAAAUUUCAUUUUUGUGGCUGCCACAAACUAUGUUGAAUUGGUUGCGACUAAAUCUGUCAUUAACAAAAACUAUAGCAAAAUGUGCUGCAGGAUGUCCCACAAAAACAAUAUUUUGCAGUUUUAUAAACUUUCCCCAUGUUUUUAUGACAGAACCAAUUACAAAAUGACAUUUAUAAUCCAGGAACAAAAAUCAUGUUAUGUAGUGUAAUUACAAAUACUCUGUCCAUCUCUAUGUAAGAUGAGUUUAUUUCCUGGGUGCAUGAUGGCAGUGGAGACUCACUCUGGGGUAGUCCCGGGACUAUUGUGAAAUGAGUUUCUGCAGGCCCAAUAUCGCAUUGACCCCAGGCCUUUCAGGAAGCCCUGGAUGUAAUGCGUUAUCUAAUUGAUUUGGAAUAAACCAAGGAAACCUUGUUUUUUUCCUAAUUAAUUUGUUUUUACUGGAGGCGUCAUUUGGAUGACACUAGUAAAAACUGAGACCGGUUCUAGUUUUUGGGCCUAUUUGGAUGGGCCUGCAAUCUUUGGAUUAUGAUUCUCUAUUGAUCAAAGACAAUUUGAAUCUCUAUGUUUAUGUUAUGGGUGAAACAAAAGUUGCACAAUCUAUUAUAAUGCUUUUUGAAUACUAUCUAAAUUGCUGAAAAGUCAUUGUGUAAUUAAUGAAACUAUCAUUAUUUUAACUUCUUAUAGAACUGCACCCACAAUUAUUUGUCAUCUCUCUCAUGCAGUUGGCUCAUUAGCACAAUACUUCAUGUAUCAGGCUGAAAGUUCUAUUAAUGCAGAAUAAACCAAAUGCCAAUAUCUGCCAACAAAACCUGAAUGAGAGAAAUCAAAUUCUGAACAUUUUAAAAACCUUCCUUGCAUUGAGAAAGUGUAAUGUAACUGAAUUUCAGUGCCACAAAUCAUUCAUUAUAGUUAAAGUCUGAGAAGCUGUGGAUUCUUUGAUUCUCUGCAACUCCACAGGCAAUUUCAAAAAGCUAUUUUUAAGGCCAAGUUUCGAUGAUGCUUUAAAUGCUUGUCCUUCUCAACACUAAUCAAACUUCUCCUUCCAUCCUUCCCUAAAGUUAAAAGGCUAGACCUGAAAGAACAGAAGCCCCUUGUGAGUUGCAAGCCAUCUUGGGAAAUAAGGAUGAUCUUUUCUUCUUUCUCUCUAUCUCUUAUUUUGUGACACAUUCCUGAAUCAGAACAGCUGGGGCUGACAUAAACAUUUUUGCAGUCCACUCAACUGGAUUUAGUUUGAAUACACUACAUGCACACACAAACACACACUCUUUCUUUCAUAGUAACAAAGGGAUGGGGAAUAUGUGAUUAUUUAGAUGUUGUUGGUUUAUUCAUUUAAUUUUGGGGAUGUUCUGAUUUACAUAUGUCUCAUGUUGAUUUCAGGGCUUGUUUUGUUGGAAUGGAUGCAUUUUUAUUGUUUCACCAAAAGUGUUCUAAAUAGGCAACAUUUUUGCACAGGGGUUCAUUGAAGGUUGAAAGUCACCGAAGGUAGUAUUAAUUAAACAAAAGUAUAUCCUGUGGAAAUGAUUGAAAAGGAAGCUCCAUGUUUUGUUACCUUGAAGUUAAUUUUAUGUGUAAAAGUAGGGUCAAAACAGAAGAUGUGGAGUUUGCAAUUAGAAGCAGUUUGGAUGUGUUUCCCAUUAGUAAUGAAACUGCUUUACAAAAUUAAGUCUAGGUAAUCUGACUUGCAAAUGAAGUCAAUGUUUACCUUCAAUGAAGAAUCACAUUUACGCUGGUAAAGUCAUCCAAGUUUCCCAUAAUCUGAUAGCCCUCUAUCACUUUCUAUAGAUUUUCUCCACAAUCUGUUUUUUUCAGAACUUCAAAGUGUUGUCUUUUAUGUGCAUCUUUAUGAAGAAAUCCAAGAAAUAAAAAUAUUUACCAUA
Molecule: long non-coding RNA, 5532 nt
Organism: Anolis carolinensis (green anole)
Lineage: Eukaryota; Metazoa; Chordata; Lepidosauria; Squamata; Anolidae
Exons: 5
Source: RefSeq, a predicted model, not a curated record